This 1347-nucleotide ribosomal RNA is filed under the name uncultured bacterium. RNAcentral describes it as "partial 16S ribosomal RNA". It matches the Rfam family "Bacterial small subunit ribosomal RNA", at positions 28 to 1381 of the family's 1533-position model. The record is from RNAcentral.
GACGAACGCUGGCGGCUGUGCUUAACACAUGCAAGUCGAACGGAAAGGCCCUGCUUUUGUGGGGUGCUCGAGUGGCGAACGGGUGAGUAACACGUGAGUAACCUGCCCUUGACUUUGGGAUAACUUCAGGAAACUGGGGCUAAUACCGGAUAGGAGCUCCUGCUGCAUGGUGGGGGUUGGAAAGUUUCGGCGGUUGGGGAUGGACUCGCGGCUUAUCAGCUUGUUGGUGGGGUAGUGGCUUACCAAGGCUUUGACGGGUAGCCGGCCUGAGAGGGUGACCGGCCACAUUGGGACUGAGAUACGGCCCAGACUCCUACGGGAGGCAGCAGUGGGGAAUAUUGCACAAUGGGCGGACGCCUGAUGCAGCAACGCCGCGUGCGGGAUGACGGCCUUCGGGUUGUAAACCGCUUUCGCCUGUGACGAAGCGUGAGUGACGGUAAUGGGUAAAGAAGCACCGGCUAACUACGUGCCAGCAGCCGCGGUGAUACGUAGGGUGCGAGCGUUGUCCGGAUUUAUUGGGCGUAAAGGGCUCGUAGGUGGUUGAUCGCGUCGGAAGUGUAAUCUUGGGGCUUAACCCUGAGCGUGCUUUCGAUACGGGUUGACUUGAGGAAGGUAGGGGAGAAUGGAAUUCCUGGUGGAGCGGUGGAAUGCGCAGAUAUCAGGAGGAACACCAGUGGCGAAGGCGGUUCUCUGGGCCUUUCCUGACGCUGAGGAGCGAAAGCGUGGGGAGCGAACAGGCUUAGAUACCCUGGUAGUCCACGCUGUAAACGGUGGGUACUAGGUGUGGGGUCCAUUCCACGGGUUCCGUGCCGUAGCUAACGCUUUAAGUACCCCGCCUGGGGAGUACGGCCGCAAGGCUAAAACUCAAAGGAAUUGACGGGGCCCCGCACAAGCGGCGGAGCAUGCGGAUUAAUUCGAUGCAACGCGUAGAACCUUACCUGGGUUUGACAUGGAUCGGGAGUGCUCAGAGAUGGGUGUGCCUCUUUUGGGGUCGGUUCACAGGUGGUGCAUGGCUGUCGUCAGCCCGUGUCGUGAGAUGUUGGGUUAAGUCCCGCAACGAGCGCAACCCUUGUUCACUGUUGCCAGCACGUUAUGGUGGGGACUCAGUGGAGACCGCCGGGGUCAACUCGGAGGAAGGUGGGGAUGACGUCAAGUCAUCAUGCCCCUUAUGUCCAGGGCUUCACGCAUGCUACAAUGGCUGGUACAGAGAGUGGCGAGCCUGUGAGGGUGAGCGAAUCUCGGAAAGCCGGUCUCAGUUCGGAUUGGGGUCUGCAACUCGACCUCAUGAAGUCGGAGUCGCUAGUAAUCGCAGAUCAGCAACGCUGCGGUGAAUACGUUCCCGGGGCU